AGCGAACGCUGGCGGCACGCUUAACACAUGCAAGUCGAACGGAAAUUAAUGCUUCGGUAUUGAUUUUAGUGGCAAACGGGUGAGUAAUGCGUAGGAAUUUGCCUUUUAGUGGGGGAUAGUCACGGGAAACUGUGAGUAAUACCGCAUAAUCUCGAAAGAGGAAAGCCUUAGGGCGCUGAAAGAGAAGCCUACGUCGGAUUAGGUAGUUGGUGGGGUAAUAGCCUACCAAGCCGAUGAUCCGUAGCUGGUCUGAGAGGAUGAUCAGCCACACUGGGACUAAGAUACGGCCCAG
This 292-nucleotide ribosomal RNA is filed under the name uncultured bacterium. Its description in RNAcentral is "partial 16S ribosomal RNA". It matches the Rfam family "Bacterial small subunit ribosomal RNA", at positions 29 to 334 of the family's 1533-position model. The record is from RNAcentral.